Molecule: ribosomal RNA, 426 nt
Filed under: uncultured bacterium
Lineage: Bacteria
Description: bacterial SSU rRNA
Rfam family: Bacterial small subunit ribosomal RNA
Source: RNAcentral
GUAGGGAAUCUUGCGCAAUGGGCGAAAGCCUGACGCAGCAACGCCGCGUGGGGGAUGAAGGCUUUCGGGUUGUAAACCCCUUUCAGCAGGGACGAUCGUGACGGUACCUGCAGAAGAAGGACCGGCCAACUACGUGCCAGCAGCCGCGGUAAUACGUAGGGUCCGAGCGUUGUCCGGAUUUAUUGGGCGUAAAGAGCUCGUAGGCGGCUCAGUUAGUCGGAUGUGAAAACUCGGGGCUCAACCCCGAGACGCCAUCCGAUACUGCUGUGGCUUGAAUCUGGUAGGGGAGCACGGAAUUCCUGGUGUAGCGGUGAAAUGCGCAGAUAUCAGGAGGAACACCGGUGGCGAAGGCGGUGCUCUGGGCCAGUAUUGACGCUGAGGAGCGAAAGCGUGGGUAGCAAACAGGAUUAGAAACCCUGGUAGUCC